CCCUAGCCCCGAUAGCAGUGAAAAUCCUUGUUGCCCGGGGUUCGGGCAACAAGAUUGUAACGGAUAGCGGGAACCAUA
RNAcentral lists this small RNA (78 nucleotides) under Flavobacterium sp. 5. Its description in RNAcentral is "Flavo-1 RNA". It matches the Rfam family "Flavo-1 RNA". The record is from RNAcentral. Lineage: Bacteria; Pseudomonadati; Bacteroidota; Flavobacteriia; Flavobacteriales; Flavobacteriaceae.